GCCAAGGAGAGGGGGAAGAUUGAACUGAGCAACAAAAAGAACAUACAUAAAUGUCUGAAGACCUCAGUUUCCUCAUUUGUGGAAUGGAAAUGAUAGUCUGCCUAAGGAUAAAAAGAGGCGAUACAUUUGUCAGCGCUUCAUAAAUUGAAAAUUUCCAUCCAAAGGUUAUUUGAAUAGGCUGAGCCAUCAGUGAAAAGAGAGGUUUGGUGUCUCACAAAUAGGAUAUCUGAGAAUAUGAAGUCAAUGUGACACUCAGCUCACUCUAGGGGGAGCCAGCUGGCAUGUUAUGAAGACACUUGAGCAGCUGUACAUGCAGAGAAGUCCCCAUGAUGAGGGGUUCGGGCCUCCUGCCAACAGCCAUGGGAGUGAGCCAUCUUGGAAUCAGGUCCCUCAGCUGCUGCCUGAUGUCUUGACUACAGUCCUGGAGACCCUGAGCCAGACCCGUCCAGCUCAGCUGCUUCCAGAUUCCCAACCCUCAGACACUGGGGGAAGUUGCCAACUCUUGGGUAAAAUGAUGCUUCCAAGCUCCCCACUUUGUCAGGAGAAGAACCAUGGCUUGAACCCACAUGGCACUGAGUACAAGGCAUCAUGAAACUGGAUCCAAAUAGAAAGUUAACCAGAUGCUGCUCACCUGUCAGGUAAGA
Long non-coding RNA from Prionailurus viverrinus (fishing cat), 644 nucleotides. RefSeq lists it as uncharacterized. Lineage: Eukaryota; Metazoa; Chordata; Mammalia; Carnivora; Felidae. The record is from RefSeq and is a predicted model, not a curated record. The transcript is spliced from 5 exons.